GCCGGUUUAGCUCAGUAGGUAGAGCAAGCGGCUGUUAACCGCUGGGCCAUAGGUUCAAGUCCUAUAACCGGCG
This 73-nucleotide transfer RNA is filed under the name Myxococcota bacterium. Its description in RNAcentral is "tRNA-Asn". It matches the Rfam family "tRNA". Rfam says of the family: Transfer RNA (tRNA) molecules are approximately 80 nucleotides in length. Their secondary structure includes four short double-helical elements and three loops (D, anti-codon, and T loops). The record is from RNAcentral. Lineage: Bacteria; Pseudomonadati; Myxococcota.